RNAcentral lists this ribosomal RNA (109 nucleotides) under uncultured bacterium. RNAcentral describes it as "partial 16S ribosomal RNA". It matches the Rfam family "Bacterial small subunit ribosomal RNA", at positions 408 to 508 of the family's 1533-position model. The record is from RNAcentral.
AAGAAGGCCUUCGGGUUGUAAAGCUCUUUCGGCCGGGAAGAAGGGUUAAUCGGUUAAUAAGCGAUUAAUUUGAUGGUACCGGAAGAAGAAGCACCGGCAAACUUCGUGC